GACGAACGCUGGCGGCGUGCCUAAUACAUGCAAGUAGAACGCUGAAGGAGGAGCUUGCUUCUCCGGAUGAGUUGCGAACGGGUGAGUAACGCGUAGGUAACCUGCCUGGUAGCGGGGGAUAACUAUUGGAAACGAUAGCUAAUACCGCAUAACAGUAGAUGUUGCAUGACAUUUGCUUAAAAGGUGCAAUUGCAUCACUACCAGAUGGACCUGCGUUGUAUUAGCUAGUUGGUGAGGUAACGGCUCACCAAGGCGACGAUACAUAGCCGACCUGAGAGGGUGAUCGGCCACACUGGGACUGAGACACGGCCCAGACUCCUACGGGAGGCAGCAGUAGGGAAUCUUCGGCAAUGGACGGAAGUCUGAACGCGCAACGCCGCGGGAGUGAAGAAGGUUCUCGGAUCGGAAAGCUCUGUUGUAAGAGAAGAACGAGUGUGAGAGUGGAAAGUUCACACUGUGACGGUAGCUUACCAGAAAGAGACGGCUAACUACGUG
Molecule: ribosomal RNA, 495 nt
Filed under: uncultured bacterium
Lineage: Bacteria
Description: partial 16S ribosomal RNA
Rfam family: Bacterial small subunit ribosomal RNA
Source: RNAcentral